CUGAAGUGAGCCUACUUGAUUUUUCUAAUAGCAACUCUAACGACUUGGACAUGUUGCUCUACUCAUAAAAUAUAGUUAUGAUCUAUGGAAAACAGUAAGCAAAUUAGAGGAUGAAUUGGAUAACUGCAUGCAUUUUCCUAAAGGCAGACAGAAUGAAAUGUGGAAAAUAUUCAGCCUGAAGAUAAUAGAUAUAAGACACGGUGAACCAUACCAGUAAUAAAUAUAUUAAACUUUUAGGUAAUGAUAAAUCUUACUGGUGAGUUCUGCAGCUACCUCCACAGCAUGUAGAUUCAGCUCUGAGAACAAUUUACCUGCUGAGGACUUAGUAUUUCAUCCUUCAGUAGAUAGAAUUGUUUUCAUCUUACCCUUCCCAGUGGAACAGAGAGGAAAUAUAGUGUGAGCACAUAUGGAGUAAUGCACAAGUACAGAGUGCUUCAUUAUGUGCACGAACAGAAAUGCUUAAAUGGAUGAAGCAGCUAUUUACAUCUGAUAGGAGCUAAGUGGGACAUUAAAUUAAUGCCAAACAAGGAUAUUGGUGUCCUCUGAGUGAACCAUACACAUUGCAGAUUCCAACAUUUGUGAAAGAAAAGAGCUUCUGUCCUUUUGACUGUAAAAGGAAACAAGAAGAUUGCCAGAAAAACUCUGCUUUUUACAGAUCCUCCCAAGGGCAUGAUGUAAUUUCUAAUACCUAAAUUAUGAUCAUUCCUCACACCAAGUAAUAUUAUACUCAGAAAACAUUGACAAAACUGUUUGACAUCUUGUAGACGGCAGUACUACCAGGGUAAAUUCUCAUGGAUUUAAGAUCAGUGCUUUAUUGUACUAGUGCCAAAAGAGUAAUAUCAAUUUGAAUAAUCUAAAAAUUUGUCUCAGUUGGGAGAAGAGUAGCAAAGUUUAGCACACUCUUACUUGAUUAACUCAACAUACUUAUCAGCUCUACUAACUGUUCUUGCAAACCUCAGUUACUUAUUUAGAGGUGCACAGCUGGAAACUACCUCUGUGUUUUGAUUUCCUCCAGUUGCAGGUUAUUUCACAAAUCUCAGGAUGUGGAAGACGGAAAACUUUGACUCUAAAAUGUUGGUCUGUAUUUUCUGGAGUUUCAUCAGCAACAGGA
RNAcentral lists this long non-coding RNA (1111 nucleotides) under Anser brachyrhynchus (Pink-footed goose). RNAcentral describes it as "lncRNA (ENSABRG00000021692.1)". The record is from RNAcentral. Lineage: Eukaryota; Metazoa; Chordata; Aves; Anseriformes; Anatidae.